AAGUCGUAACAAGGUAACCGUAGGUGAACCUGCGGUUGGAUCAUUAACAAAUUGCGUUAAACAACGCAUUUAACCUUAUGUGAACUGUAACUGUCUUUGGCGGGUGUGUGUUUUCGCAUUUCUGAAUCUUGGAGGUGUAGCCGGGUACUUUUUGGAAUUACGAGUUUCGUAUUUUCAAAACCAGCUUAACUGAAGAGAAUUCAGAAAGGUAAAACCGCCUCCUUUUGAUGAUUUCAAAAGAGGGCCGCCCGCCAAAAGGAAAAGAAGAUCUCUCUUCUGCUCCAUGACAAACAUUUGUAUCUCAACUAUCUUGUCUUAAAAUUUAAUUGUUGAUCUAUCUAUGCAUUUUAUUUAAAAUGUUUUAGAAAAACAAAUACAAUAAUUGACAAAACAACUUUUGGCAACGGAUCUCUUGGUUCUG
Molecule: unclassified non-coding RNA, 421 nt
Filed under: fungal sp.
Lineage: Eukaryota; Fungi
Description: partial internal transcribed spacer region
Rfam family: Eukaryotic small subunit ribosomal RNA (bases 1-46)
Source: RNAcentral